Molecule: small RNA, 123 nt
Filed under: Allorhizobium borbori
Lineage: Bacteria; Pseudomonadati; Pseudomonadota; Alphaproteobacteria; Hyphomicrobiales; Rhizobiaceae
Description: Rhizobium borbori Alphaproteobacterial ar14
Rfam family: Alphaproteobacterial ar14
About the family: Smr14C2 was renamed NfeR1 (Nodule Formation Efficiency RNA) highly expressed in salt stress and during the symbiotic interaction on legume roots.
Source: Rfam by way of RNAcentral
GAUUAACCAAGUGACGCAAUUCUCCUCCCGGUGUCCUUGGCUUUGGACUGGCAACACCCUCCUCCCGGUUGCUGGUCAGUUUCAAGCAGCCCGGCCUUCCUCCUCCCAGGCCGGGCUGUCUGC